AGAGUGGAAACCAGUAAUAUAACAAUUCAGUUUAUUUUUAGUUAUUUUUCCAGACAGACACAUCAAUUUCUGGACCACAGUAGAGGAUGGAAACCUUUCACAGACAUAUUUUUUUUGUCAAUAUUAUUAUUUGAAAAUACAAAUAUAAAAUUAGACUUUCCACAUUUGAUAUGUGAGAGACCCCCAUCCAUUAUUAUCACCAUUAUUAUUUCAGAAUAUUUUUACAAUAGGGCUUGAGCAAAGCCAUAUGAUAACCUGAAAGAUGCUUUCAGAUGUCAGUCAAGUCUGUCUGUCUCUCGCCAUAAAAAGUCGGUUAACAUAAAAAAACAGGGGCAAGUGUUAGGAAUGGGCCGGCGGCAGCGAGCGCGGCUCUGUGCUCGGCCUGCGGAGACGUGGAAGCACAGCAGAGCCUCUCGCUGCCGGCCGGGCGCUCUGAAGGGGGGCGUCUGGGCUCCACCCCGCUCCCCCUCUCGGGUGUGUGUGUGCGUUCUGCUCCGUCCAGACGCCGGCGGGCGGAGGGAGUGAAAUCAUGUCUUCGAACGUCAGCUAGUGAGAGCAUGUUUCGACUAAAUGCACGAGGAAUAUUUCGUAUACAGCUGAGGUCUCCAGUCUAGUAUUUUCACACAAAGUCAAAAUGGGUGAAAAUUGCAAAUAUAUAUAUAUAUAUAUAUAUAUAUAUAUAUAUAUAUAUAUUGCAACUGUUGGUAUACUUAACAAUGAAUGCGGCUGAGAUGGUUUGAAGGGAAAUUCACCCUAAAACGUGACCUCAUGUGAGAACUUGUGUUAUUUCUGUCACCUUGACGAGUUCAGUCGACGUUUCUGAACCUGAACCGUUUUUAUAUUUAUAUCCUGUAACAAGAGGAGCCAAAACUAUAAAUAUAAAGUGUUGGCGAGUCACUUUGUGGCCUCGGAGACUAACUUUGUGGUCACUGUGACUGUAGCCAGUAUCUCUCAGAGAUAAGGGCACAUAGUCUGGCUUUAAACCAUUUAGCACCACUGUGAUUAAGCCUCUCUUCGUCUUUCUCUCUCUCUUUUUAUUUUCUGGGGUUAAAAAUGCUCUACAACAUUCCAUGAGCCGUCAAGGUCAGUCGAGAGUGACCGGAAGUACAGCGAAGUCUGAGCCUUACGAUAAAACCAGUGAAUUGAGCUGAAACAAAAUGAAGACUGCAUGCUUUGGACAGAAAUAUCAGAAGCGUGUGCAGUUUUAGGGUGGGAUUUUCCACUAAUGAAUGGGGGAUAUUAUGGUUUGGCCAUUGCCUAGCACUUGCCUCGAGAUUCAAGUUUAAAUGGAUACGGUAGUACACUACAAAUGUCAACACCAUUCCAGGUUGACUUUUUUUGAAUCUUUUUUUUUUUUUUUGAGAUUACUUUUCUUUCCUUUGUUUUUUGUUUUUCUUAAACUGAGACCCGUCCCCUCUCCCCGAAUGGAUAAGCUAGUCUACUAAGAUGUGUAACAUUCAUCAGCUGUAAACUGCUGUCAGUUUGAGAAUAAAUGAAAUUACAGCAAGAGCCAUGCUACCUUAAAGUCCAAGCUACAAGAUACGAAACAAAAAUAGCAUUUUCUAGUAUUGUGCAAGGGGCAAAAAUGAACCAUUUCAAUGUUUUCCCUCCGCCCCCCUUUUUUAAAUGAAUUUAUGGGCAAUUAUAGUUAAAGAGCCACCCAGAGCUGAAAAAAAUCACAUAGUGUGCAACUCAGGCGAUGCUCUCUUUAUUUCUGUCUGAAUAAGGCUGAAAUUUUAGUGCCACCGGAUAAACAAAUUGUUAAAAUUAUAAGUGGCAUAUCCUAUUUCCUUCCUUAAUGAUUCAAUAUCAAUGAAUUAUUUAUUGUUCCAGACAUAAGGACAAUUAAAAUCAUUGAAAUGUACUUACCUUUAAAUAAAACACCCUGUGUGCUUGUUUGAAUUGACUGGCGAUCAAGCAGUCCUCUACUCCAAAUACUGCAUGUAAUCUAGCAGAAUAGAGCAGCUGACAGCGCCUCGGAAAGGUAUUCAUACCCCUUGAACUUUUUCAUGUUUCCAAGCAAAAACAGCGAAUCUCUGUGUGUAACAGACCAACACAAACCAGAGCAGGACUGUGAACAAUUCAGGCACUAUAGAGUUUGCAAAAAGCCACACAGGCACACGGCAAACAUGAGAUAAAAAUGCAACUUUUUGAGGCAGACAAUUUAAACCCGACAUCACCCUGAACACAACUUCCCCCAUUAGAACAUGGCAGUGGAAGUAUCAUGCUGUUGGGAUGUUUUUUUCUUCAGCAUGGACAGGGAGGCUACUGGUGUCCAAAAAAAGACACAAGAAGCUAAAAGCUGAGCAGUUCUGCAAGGAAACCUGCUGCAAAAAAACACUUGAGAUUUCUAUGUGAUCAGAUUCGAUCCAGACUGAAAUACAAUUGAAAACUCGUGGCGAGAUUUGUUACUGUUCAGAGAGUCUCCUUCCAAUCUCAGUGGGAUAGAGACAGUUCGCCAAGAAGGUCAGCAUCUAGAAGUGCAAAUCUGGUAGAGACUUACACCAAAAUACAAGCAGGUGUAACUGAACGGUGGUUCUGCAAUAUGAAUGCAAACGCACGCCACACUUUUCAGAUUUUAAUUUGUGGAAAAAAAAUAAAAAGUAGAACCAAUUUUGUUCAACUUCACAAAUGUGUUUCUCGAGGAAAUGCAUCAAUGUUUGUGGAUGUAAUAUGACAAAGUAUGAAAAAGUUCAAGGAGUACGAAGUGAGGUGAUGUAACCCAAAUAUACGCCAUAAAAUGUUAGAAAUUAUGAAGCAAAAUUAUGCCACCGGAAGAUAAAGUGGACUGAAUUGAGAGCACCUCUUAUCAAAAUUUAGGGUAUAAAAUGUUCUUGAAUCCAGCAAUGAGUUAAAAUGCCAGUCUGGUUCUACACUGAACUAAAACAUCUAAUAAUGUUGGCAAACAAACAACAGCUAUUAUUUAUUUAAAGUCUUCUUCUUUAAUGAAGUGUGUUGUGCUGUUUUGUAGAGUAUGACAUCUGGAAACGGUUUGAAAUCAUCUUUUUUUUUUUUUUUUUUUUAAAUCCAGAAAGUGAUUUGUACUUGAAUAAUUAAAGACCAGAGAGUUUUAUCAAACCUCUGGUGUGACUGAUGUUGGAGUUUAAUUUUUCUAGUCAUUUUUCUAAUUUGCUUUUACGUGUUCCUCCUACAAAAAAAAACAAAAAAAACAGCUCUGUCUAGCAUUAGCAUUUAAGGUAGUAUGGCACACCCCUUUUAAAACAUUCAAGGGUGGGGAUCCAAAUAAUGCCUUGUGUACAAUUCCAUCUUACAGCAACAAUUUCUCCAUUGUUCAUCCGUGAGAGCUUUGGUUAGCUGAAACCAUGUUAGAGUGGCAAAAAAACAAAAAACAACAAAAAAAACAACAACAAAAAAAAAACUGAAGGAAAAAAAACAACAAAAGAACAAAAAAGAAAACAAAACCUAAACAAACGUACAGGGAAUAAAUUACAACAAACAAAUAUCAGAACAACAUGAUCAUUGAGAGAAAGAUCUAUCUUGACUGGUUCUAAAUCCACUAUUCACUACAAGUAUUAUAUAAAUGAGUCCUAUAUAACAUCUACUUUGUAAUUACAGGAGAUAGAAAAAGAGCGCGAGGAGGGAGGGGGGGCUAAAUAUGAGAGAAAGGAGAGGUAGAGCGAGGGAGAACAACAAAGCACUACACUGGUAUCAAAGACAGCACUCUGUUUACAAGUUAACUGUGAUUUCUUUACACACUAAUGAAGUACAUGGAUGAGCAACAAAAGAUGGCGGCAUCUCUGAGGAUGUGGCAUGGAAAGAGAGAACGUAAUGGAUGCACAGUACAUUUUUAAUAGUAUAAUACAAUUAUUAAUAUAGAAACCACAAAGUAUCAAUAAAACUCUGAUUAAACUUGAAAUCAGCAAAGCGUCUUUCUUUUUUUGUCUUUUGUUUUUUACUUUUGUAUUUCUUCUUAUACAUUUGAACAUUACAAGUUUUUUUUUUUCCUUUAAAUUAUUACUUGACCACACCUCCAUAUCAUUUACUUUAGAAGUAUCCAGCAUAUUUAUUACCUGGUUGUUUUAAAAGAAAGAAAGAAAAAAAAAAAAAGAAAGGAAACAAGUGCAUAAAAAAAGAAAACAACGGCAUUGAUAAAAUUUAAAAACCAGACCGCACUCUGGCGUGUAACAUUACUAUUAUUAUUAUUUAAUAAUAAAUCGAUGUCAAGAAUAAAACCUUUUUUUGUAACCACACUAAUAUACGGUGUAAAGCCGAGUGCGGCUACAGAUAGUGAAUAAUUCAGUGUCAUCUUUUGACCCUGUAUAAAUAUCCUCAGGUGACACGUGGGUCUAAAGGAUAGAAAUCCAAGUGUACGCUGCGACACGCCCGUUUUCACAUCCCGAGCUGCUUGUCCGGUUGGGAACACGUUAACCCCUCCCCCCGGCCCCACCCCAAGCGACCCGUCCUGACCGCCGGUAGAUCCUUCAUGCUGUCCCAAAGCACAAGGCCGUUUGUAAAAAGCCAACAUACACAUGUGCAAACAAGAGGAUGGCCUGUACUUCACAACUCACAGUGCAGCGAUUACUCGCUGUAAAAUAGCCUUUCAGUGUUUUCUUUUGCAGUUUUUUUUUUUUUUUUUGACAUUUCCGCCACUAGAAUAAAUUAAAAACCCGCCGAUGAUUCCACGGUAGAAGUCACGAAGGCUGAGGUAUGGUAUCAAAAUGUUUACUGUCCUAAUUCAUUCAAAACAGAACCGAUUCAAAGAACAAGCAGUAUAUAUAUAUUUAUAUUUAUAUAUAUAUAUAUGUAGAUAAAAAGGCUCGAGCAUGGAGCCCAGGUACUUUGUUCCAUGACGUGAAUCAGGAACAAGCAGGAUGAAACGGACAUUAAACACAUAUACAGCUAACAUGUUCCUCUCAGCAGUAGAAAAGCGUCAGGAUGCGCAGAGCUCUGCGAAAUGCCCGCUUCAAGUUCGAACCAUCGCGUAUCUUCGUACAGUGUGCUUUGGAUAAAAAUCUUUAACUUUUCCUCUCUCUCUCUCUCUUCGUCUCUCCCACAUUGAAGUGAUCUUUAAAUCAUAAUUGCUGUUCUGUCUCUAAAACGCCAUUUAGACUAAACUCACCGGUCAUAAAUUUGCUGGUAUGACACUUUUAAAACGAUGUUCCGCGUUCAGUAUUUACAACGGCUGUUUGUGGGCUUUGUUAUACCGUCUCUCAGCAGAAACAAAACAAAAAAACAAACAAAAAA
Long non-coding RNA from Poecilia latipinna (sailfin molly), 5205 nucleotides. RefSeq lists it as uncharacterized. NCBI's taxonomy places the organism in Eukaryota, Metazoa, Chordata, Actinopteri, Cyprinodontiformes, Poeciliidae. The record is from RefSeq and is a predicted model, not a curated record. The transcript has 2 exons.